GUUGUAGAUGAGCAUGAGAGUGUGGAGCAGAGUCGGCGAGCGCAAGCUGAGCCCAUCAACCUGGACAGCUGUCUCCGUUCUUUCACCAGUGACGAAGAGCUAGGGGAAAAUGAGAUGUACUACUGUUCCAAGUGUAAGACCCACUGCUUAGCAACAAAGAAGCUGGAUCUCUGGAGUCUUCCACCCUUUCUGAUUAUUCACCUUAAGCGAUUUCAAUUUGUAAAUGAUCAGUGGAUAAAAUCACAGAAAAUUGUCAAAUUUCCUCGGGAAAGUUUUGAUCCGAG
This 284-nucleotide small RNA is filed under the name Pongo abelii (Sumatran orangutan). RNAcentral describes it as "processed transcript". Lineage: Eukaryota; Metazoa; Chordata; Mammalia; Primates; Hominidae. The record is from RNAcentral.